RNAcentral lists this ribosomal RNA (252 nucleotides) under uncultured Bacteroidales bacterium. RNAcentral's name for it is "partial 16S ribosomal RNA". It matches the Rfam family "Bacterial small subunit ribosomal RNA", at positions 524 to 776 of the family's 1533-position model. Lineage: Bacteria; Pseudomonadati; Bacteroidota; Bacteroidia; Bacteroidales. The record is from RNAcentral.
UACGGAGGAUGCGAGCGAUAUCCGGAUUUAUUGGGUUUAAAGGGUGCGUAGGCGGACUGUUAAGUCAGCGGUAAAAGCCCGGGGCUCAACCCCGGCGAGCCGUUUGAACUGGCGCGCUUGAGUUCAGGCGAGGUAGGCGGAAUUCGUGGUGUAGCGGUGAAAUGCAUAGAUAUCACGAAGAACCCCGAUUGCGAAGGCAGCAUACCGGUGCACAACUGACGCUCAGGCACGAAAGCGUGGGUAUCGAACAGG